Molecule: long non-coding RNA, 652 nt
Organism: Oncorhynchus gorbuscha (pink salmon)
Lineage: Eukaryota; Metazoa; Chordata; Actinopteri; Salmoniformes; Salmonidae
Exons: 8
Source: RefSeq, a predicted model, not a curated record
UUCUUUUCCGCGCUGAACUCAGCAGUUGAAAUGUUGAGGUCCUAUUGUGUGCCUCAAAAAGGAUUAUGAAGUACAACACGUGUGAUCCUGGAUGACUAAUGUAUCUGCAUAAUGGUUUACAAUCAGCGUAACUUCUUGCUGACCCUGAGAAACCAGGGGAUUGCUCAAUCGUGGUUUGCCUCCAGUGGGAAUGCUAUGGUCUGAACUUCCAGCCAUAAUGAUCAAGGAACCAUUGAUGGUGGUAUGCCUGAAGUUGGGGUCACAUGGGUGGAACCUUUAGUGACUCUUAACAGUUGCUGGCAUGGGGAGAUGGGAAUGUGACUGAUCCUGGUUCUCGAUGUAAAAAUCGUGACGAGAUGAACUAAAAGUUCUAAGGGGGUGUUGGAAGACUAGGUGAAUAUGCAGUAAAUUCCCUCUCCAUUGUUUGGUCAGGGGGGUGUGCAGGAACUGUCAUUUACCACUGACCUACAGUUGUCCUGAAGAAAGUGCAUCACCGGCUUGAAUUUAUAAUUUAGCCAUUUUGUUUGUGGAGAUGUGUUUUAAUUUUUUUUAUAAGCUUCAUUAAACUACAUGUGUUCUAAUUUUAGCUUGGUAAAUAAAACCAGUAAGUGUAACUUCAUUGUCCUGAACCAAUAAAGGGAUUUGUACAUAA